RNAcentral lists this transfer RNA (73 nucleotides) under Podarcis lilfordi (Lilford's wall lizard). It matches the Rfam family "tRNA". From Rfam's summary of the family: Transfer RNA (tRNA) molecules are approximately 80 nucleotides in length. Their secondary structure includes four short double-helical elements and three loops (D, anti-codon, and T loops). The record is from Rfam by way of RNAcentral. Lineage: Eukaryota; Metazoa; Chordata; Lepidosauria; Squamata; Lacertidae.
GCUGAGACAGCUCAGUCGGUAGAGCAUGAGACUCUUAAUCUCAGGGUCGUGGGUUUGAGCCCCAUGUUGGGCA